AGAGUUUGAUCCUGGCUCAGAUUGAACGCUGGCGGCAUGCUUUACACAUGCAAGUCGGACGGCAGCACAGGGAAGCUUGCUUCUCGGGUGGCGAGUGGCGAACGGGUGAGUAACAUAUCGGAACGUACCGGGUAGCGGGGGAUAACUGAUCGAAAGAUCAGCUAAUACCGCAUACGUCUUGAGAGGGAAAGCAGGGGACCUUCGGGCCUUGCGCUAUCCGAGCGGCCGAUAUCUGAUUAGCUGGUUGGCGGGGUAAAGGCCCACCAAGGCGACGAUCAGUAGCGGGUCUGAGAGGAUGAUCCGCCACACUGGGACUGAGACACGGUCCAGACUCCUACGGGAGGCAGCAGUGGGGAAUUUUGGACAAUGGGCGCAAGCCUGAUCCAGCCAUGCCGCGUGUCUGAAGAAGGCCUUCGGGUUGUAAAGGACUUUUGUCAGGGAAGAAAAGGCCGUUGCCAAUAUCGGCGGCCGAUGACGGUACCUGAAGAAUAAGCACCGGCUAACUACGUGCCAGCAGCCGCGGUAAUACGUAGGGUGCGAGCGUUAAUCGGAAUUACUGGGCGUAAAGCGGGCGCAGACGGUUACUUAAGCAGGAUGUGAAAUCCCCGGGCUCAACCCGGGAACUGCGUUCUGAACUGGGUGACUCGAGUGUGUCAGAGGGAGGUGGAAUUCCACGUGUAGCAGUGAAAUGCGUAGAGAUGUGGAGGAAUACCGAUGGCGAAGGCAGCCUCCUGGGAUAACACUGACGUUCAUGUCCGAAAGCGUGGGUAGCAAACAGGAUUAGAUACCCUGGUAGUCCACGCCCUAAACGAUGUCAAUUAGCUGUUGGGCAACUUGAUUGCUUGGUAGCGUAGCUAACGCGUGAAAUUGACCGCCUGGGGAGUACGGUCGCAAGAUUAAAACUCAAAGGAAUUGACGGGGACCCGCACAAGCGGUGGAUGAUGUGGAUUAAUUCGAUGCAACGCGAAGAACCUUACCUGGUUUUGACAUGUGCGGAAUCCUCCGGAGACGGAGGAGUGCCUUCGGGAGCCGUAACACAGGUGCUGCAUGGCUGUCGUCAGCUCGUGUCGUGAGAUGUUGGGUUAAGUCCCGCAACGAGCGCAACCCUUGUCAUUAGUUGCCAUCAUUCGGUUGGGCACUCUAAUGAGACUGCCGGUGACAAGCCGGAGGAAGGUGGGGAUGACGUCAAGUCCUCAUGGCCCUUAUGACCAGGGCUUCACACGUCAUACAAUGGUCGGUACAGAGGGUAGCCAAGCCGCGAGGCGGAGCCAAUCUCACAAAACCGAUCGUAGUCCGGAUUGCACUCUGCAACUCGAGUGCAUGAAGUCGGAAUCGCUAGUAAUCGCAGGUCAGCAUACUGCGGUGAAUACGUUCCCGGGUCUUGUACACACCGCCCGUCACACCAUGGGAGUGGGGGAUACCAGAAGUAGGUAGGGUAACCGCAAGGAGCCCGCUUACCACGGUAUGCUUCAUGACUGGGGUGAAGUCGUAACAAGGUAGCCGUAGGGGAACCUGCGGCUG
Molecule: ribosomal RNA, 1521 nt
Filed under: Neisseria gonorrhoeae
Lineage: Bacteria; Pseudomonadati; Pseudomonadota; Betaproteobacteria; Neisseriales; Neisseriaceae
Description: bacterial SSU rRNA
Rfam family: Bacterial small subunit ribosomal RNA
Source: RNAcentral